UGACGACCAUAGAGCAUUGGAACCACCUGAUCCCAUCCCGAACUCAGCAGUGAAACGGUGUAUCGCCGAUGGUAGUGUGGGGUUUCCCCAUGUGAGAGUAGGUCAUCGUCAAGAUU
Molecule: ribosomal RNA, 116 nt
Filed under: Pseudomonas syringae pv. syringae
Lineage: Bacteria; Pseudomonadati; Pseudomonadota; Gammaproteobacteria; Pseudomonadales; Pseudomonadaceae
Source: RNAcentral